AGAGUUUGAUUCUGGCUCAGAUCGAACGCUGGCAGCGUGGAUGAGGCAUGCAAGUCGAACGGUCAGUGGCUGGUAGCAAUAUUGGCUGCUGAUAGUGGCGGAAGGGCGAGUAAUGCGAGAGCAAGCUGCCCCCCGAUUCGGAACAACGGCUGGAAACGGCCGCUAAUGCCGGAUGCGAACGGAGCGCCGCAUGGCGCUUCGUUGAAAGGCCGGGACCCGCGAGGGCCGGCCGUCGGGGGAGGCGCUCCCGUGCCAUCGGCUAGUUGGCGAGGUAACGGCUCACCAAGGCUCACGGCUAGGUGGACUGAGAGGUUGGUCACCCGCACUGGGACUGAGACACUGCCCAGACUCCUACGGGAGGCUGCAGUCGAGGAUCAUUUGCAAUGGGCGAAAGCCUGACAAUGCGACGCUGCGUGCAGGAUGAAGGCCUUCGGGUUGUAAACUGCUGUUAGGAGGGAAAAGGACGCGGAUCCGAACAAGGUCUGCCGUUUGAUUGUACCUCCAGAGAAAGUCGCGGCUAACUCUGUGCCAGCAGCCGCGGUAAUACAGAGGCGACAAGCGUUGUUCGGAUUUACUGGGCGUAAAGCGUGCGCAGGCGGCGGGACAUGUCCAAUGUGAAAUCCCGGGGCUCAGCCCCGGAAGUGCAUUGGAAACCGUCCUGCUGGAGGCCGGGAAGGGAGUCUGGAACACACGGUGUAGCGGUGAAAUGCGUUGAUAUCGUGUGGAACACCGGAAGCGAAGGCGAGACUCUGGAACGGCACUGACGCUCAUGCACGAAAGCGUGGGGAGCAAACAGGAUUAGAUACCCUGGUAGUCCACGCCGUAAACGGUGCGCAUUCGCCGUGGGGGGAAUUGUCCCCCCCCGUGGCUUAGCAAACGCGAUAAAUGCGCCGCCUGGGGAGUACGGCCGCAAGGUUAAAACUCAAAGAAAUUGACGGGGGCCCGCACAAGCGGAGGAGCAUGUGGCUUAAUUCGAUGCAACGCGAAGAACCUUACCUGGGCUUGACAUCCCCGGCGAAUCCC
RNAcentral lists this ribosomal RNA (1023 nucleotides) under uncultured Fibrobacter sp. RNAcentral's name for it is "bacterial SSU rRNA". It matches the Rfam family "Bacterial small subunit ribosomal RNA", at positions 8 to 1000 of the family's 1533-position model. Lineage: Bacteria; Pseudomonadati; Fibrobacterota; Fibrobacteria; Fibrobacterales; Fibrobacteraceae. The record is from RNAcentral.